AUGCAUGUGUGCGUGUGUGUGUGCAUGCGUGUGCUCCUCGUUGCAGGGGAUCUUCUCAGCACAGGAAUUACACGUCAUAACAAGAAUUUCACUCCAAUAGGUGAUCUCCACUUCCAAAGGCCCAUGCCACAGGUCACAUCACCUGUGCACACAUCACUCAGUGACAGGGACAGUGCCCACACAGGUGAUGGAGCCCAGUCCGCAGGUGCAGCCACGAGCCCCUUCUCUAGCUCCCCACUUCUGUCACCUCUCUCCCUCCAAGGCCCUGACUAAGCCAUCAGGUCCCCAUCUCUGUAGAGGUAGAUGGACAGCCUGCGUCUGUAGGUCUGUACAUUCUCCCUUUAGGUGCUGGGAUGACCAGGCGUGUGGUUAGAGCUCUGGCCCUCAGUGGUCUCCAGGGCCGCCCCGACUGGCUGUCAUGGUGCAAUACGAGGGGUGUCUCCGUUGACCUGGUUUGACCUUCUGGAGCCUCCGGUCUUCUGGUUUUCCAGCUGCACAUCUAAGAAUCAGGACACAAUCCCUGACUCUCGUGGAGGGUCGGGGCAGGCUCAGCCCAGGGAGAGUGUUUCCCUCCAGGCCGGUACCUCCAAAUCCCCAGCACCUGGUGAUACCAUUCCUUCUCCUCAAAGCAGGGAAUGUUCAAAGCACAAAGCCAGCAAGAUGUGCUCAUCUCAGCCAAAGAACUGAGUCCUCAUGGUGAAAGCCACAGGAAAUCUGACACUCACCUAAUAGUGUCGCCUGGAGGAAGAGUAUCAGAAAGUGGUUAAGGACAGAGCUGGCAAGUCCAUGUGACAGAAAAGCCCUGAAGUCCGCGUCUGUCUCCUGCAGGCACCUGUUCUGGGCCUUGGGUCUGUGGCAUUCCCGCCGCUCACAGCCGGCUUUGCCCUGGGACGGAGGCUUCGCGUCGUAAAUACUGCUCUUAGCAGGAUGCGUUACCUCCAAGAGGAAGGAGCCCGGUUUUCCAGAAAGAGAGUUUUUUUUUUUUUUUUUUUUUUUAAAGAUUUUAUUUAUUUAUUUGACAGACAGAGAUCACAAGUAGGCAGAGAGGCAGGCAGAGAGAGAGGAGGAAGCAGGCUCCCCGCAGAGCAGAGAGCCCGAUGCGGGGCUCGAUCCCAGGACCCUGAGUUCAUGACCUGAGCCGAAGGCAGCGGCUUUAACCCACUGAGCUACCAGACACCCCAGAAAGAGAGUUUUGAUCCUGGCAAUAAGGGUCUUUAAUGCAAGGAGCUGGGGCACGUGACCUUGAAGAGUUGCUCGCGUUUUAGGUUCUUGGGUUUUCAGUGGGACGGAUCGUGUCAUCUGGCACCCGCAUUGCUUUGUGUAAA
This is a long non-coding RNA of Mustela lutreola (European mink), 1325 nucleotides long. RefSeq lists it as uncharacterized. The record is from RefSeq and is a predicted model, not a curated record. NCBI's taxonomy places the organism in Eukaryota, Metazoa, Chordata, Mammalia, Carnivora, Mustelidae. The transcript is spliced from 3 exons.